This 769-nucleotide long non-coding RNA is filed under the name Betta splendens (Siamese fighting fish). Its description in RNAcentral is "lncRNA (ENSBSLG00000024839.1)". The record is from RNAcentral. Lineage: Eukaryota; Metazoa; Chordata; Actinopteri; Anabantiformes; Osphronemidae.
AUGGACCCAAAGCUAAAGUCUGUUCAAGGCAGUCAAACCACCUCAAGAAGCCACAACAAGCUUCACAAGGAGCUGCUACUGGCCCACAAGAGUGGUCAAGUUCUGAGCAGCCGAUCAGAACUUCAGCAGGUCCUGGAAAGGAGGCAGAGGGUGCAGAGCGUCCAGAAUGAGGAGGGGCAGCGCAGGACGCCUCUGGAGGACGUGCUGCUCAGACGUCAGCAGAAGCAGCUGGAGAGAGAGAAGGAAGAAGAGGAGAAGGUACGAGAGGAAGCUCAGUAUCUGGAGUACGUUAAAGUCCGACAAAACCUGAGGAAGAUCCACGCUGCGAUGCAGAACAAGGCUGCCAGCACCUGACAUGUGACGCUGAGCCCUGCUGAAACAUGAGCUACUGUACAUUUAGAGGAGAUUUUCAUAUAAAAACCCCAGACAUCAUUAGGCUCACAAGUCUUUGGAUUUCUAUGAUUUUACCUUUGGAAAAAGAGCUGGAAGUGACGACUUUGUUAUUUCUAAUCUUUAUUAUAAGAGCUUUUAUAGAAGGGAAGUGAAGAAUGAACCCAGAUAAGAAAGUAGCAGCAAACAUCUACAAAAGCCUCGUGAUCUGGAAUAACCUGGAUCUGGAUGCUUCCAUUUACAUUAAUGCCUUUGAGCCUUUGAGCAAUUAGAGCUUUUCUACUAAAAAUGAUAAACGGCAUGUUGUUAAAAGUCUACACUUCACUCAUUUAUAAUGUGAAAUGGAAUUAAAAUGGAAAUAAAAAUGUGGUAUUGUCCA